RNAcentral lists this ribosomal RNA (253 nucleotides) under uncultured bacterium. Its description in RNAcentral is "partial 16S ribosomal RNA". It matches the Rfam family "Bacterial small subunit ribosomal RNA", at positions 524 to 776 of the family's 1533-position model. The record is from RNAcentral.
UACGUAGGUGGCAAGCGUUGUUCGGAAUUACUGGGCGUAAAGCGCGCGUAGGCGGCUCUUCAAGUCAGGCGUGAAAGCCCCGGGCUUAACUCGGGAACUGCGCUUGAUACUGUCGAGCUAGAGUGUGGAAGGGGCGAGUGGAAUUCCGUGUGUAGCGGUGAAAUGCGUAGAUAUACGGAGGAACACCAGGGGCGAAGGCGGAUCGCUGGGACGGUACUGACGCUGAGACGCGAAAGCGUGGGGAGCGAACAGG